UACAGGGGGGGCAAGCGUUGUUCGGAAUUACUGGGCGUAAAGGGCUCGUAGGCGGCCAACUAAGUCACACGUGAAAUCCCCAAGCUUAACCUGGGAACUGCGUGUGAUACUGGAUGGCUUGAAUUCGGGAGAGGGAUGCAGAAUUCCAGGUGUAGCGGUGAAAUGCGUAGAUAUCUGGAGGAACACCGGUGGCGAAGGCAGCCCCCUGGGCUAACACUGACGCUCAUGCACGAAAGCGUGGGGAGCAAACAGG
Molecule: ribosomal RNA, 253 nt
Filed under: uncultured bacterium
Lineage: Bacteria
Description: partial 16S ribosomal RNA
Rfam family: Bacterial small subunit ribosomal RNA
Source: RNAcentral